This 467-nucleotide ribosomal RNA is filed under the name uncultured bacterium. RNAcentral describes it as "partial 16S ribosomal RNA". It matches the Rfam family "Bacterial small subunit ribosomal RNA", at positions 28 to 506 of the family's 1533-position model. The record is from RNAcentral.
GACGAACGCUGGCGGCGUGCUUAACACAUGCAAGUCGAACGGAAGGGCCCUGCUUUUGUGGGGUGCUCGAGUGGCGAACGGGUGAGUAACACGUGAGUAACCUGCCCUUGACUUUGGGAUAACUUCAGGAAACUGGGGCUAAUACCGGAUAGGAGCUCCUGCUGCAUGGUGGGGGUUGGAAAGUUUCGGCGGUUGGGGAUGGACUCGCGGCUUAUCAGCUUGUUGGUGGGGUAGUGGCUUACCAAGGCUUUGACGGGUAGCCGGCCUGAGAGGGUGGCCGGCCACAUGGGGACUGAGAUACGGCCCAGACUCCUACGGGAGGCAGCAGUGGGGAAUAUUGCACAAUGGGCGGAAGCCUGAUGCAGCAACGCCGCGUGCGGGAUGACGGCCUUCGGGUUGUAAACCGCUUUCGCCUGUGACGAAGCGUGAGUGACGGUAAUGGGUAAAGAAGCACCGGCUGACUACGU